RNAcentral lists this long non-coding RNA (4024 nucleotides) under Lathyrus oleraceus (garden pea). RNAcentral describes it as "Pisum sativum (pea) long non-coding RNA (PSAT_LNC011109)". The record is from RNAcentral. Lineage: Eukaryota; Viridiplantae; Streptophyta; Magnoliopsida; Fabales; Fabaceae.
AAGUUCCUUCUAUGUUGCUGCCAUAACACGAUAUUCAGCUUCAACACUAGAUAGUUCAACUGUACUUUGUUUCUUGCUCCUCCAUGAGGUCGUGUUUCCUCCGAUAAGAACACAAUACCCAGAAGUAGAUCUCCCAUCUGACGAUGAUCCUGUCCAAUUUGCAUCUGAAUAACACAUGAUUUUAGCACCACCUUUAUCUUUGUAUAAUAGGCAUCUUCCUGGUGCAUUAUUUAUAUAUACGAGAAUCUAAAUAACUGCAUUCCAAUGAGUAUCAGAAGGAGCAUUCAGGAAUUAACUCAUAAUGCUCACAACAAAAGUAAUAUCUGAUAUGGUGACUGUAAGAUAAAUGAGUCUACCCACUAAACGUUGAUAUCUUUUCGGGUCUUGCAACAACCCCCCUGACCCAGAAUAAGCUUGAUGUUGGAAACCAUAUGGGUAUCAAUCAGACGACAGUCAAGCAUACCAGUUUUAGUUAGGAUGUCUAAUGCAUACUUACGUUGGUUAAUUGCAAAUGCCUAAUUAGGACUAAACAACUUCAAUACCUAAGAAGUAUCUGAGUGAACCCAAAUAUUUUGUUUGAAAGUUUUUGAAAUGAGUUUUGAGUCGCUGGAUACCCUCUGUAUCGUCUCUAAUAAUAACAAUGUCCUCAACAUAGACCACAAGAAAGAUGCGCUGACCGGUAGAGGAAUGAAGGAAGAAAACUGAGUGAUAUGCUUCACAUCUAGUCAUACCAAACUGUAUCAAGGCAGAACUGAAGCGGCCAAACCAAGCACGUGGAGAUUGUUUCAUCCCAUUAGAGACGAUGACGGGGGGAUUUACCCGACUUUAAAGAUUCUAGCCACCAAAGUAUCCAGAUUCUCCAUAAUAUACCACCCUUGUUUCGCCACCAUAACCAUAUUGAAAGCUUUGAAAACUCUAAAUCCAAGACCACCGUCCUCUUUGGCACAAGUCAAUCUAUCCUAAGCAAGCCACCUAAUUAUUUUAUUAUGAUUACCACCCCCUAGCAAAAAUAGUUUAACAUCUUCUCAAUAUCAUUAGCAAUAUUAUCUGGAAUCACAAAUACACUCAUAAUAUACGAAGGUAUAACUUAAAACAUUGAUUUAAUCUUGAUCUCUUUCCCUACUUUAGACAAUGACUUUCCUCUCCAAAAAUUAAUUCUCCUCCAAAUUUGAUCUUUUAUAAACGUAAAAGUAUUUUUCUUACUUUUAUCAAUCAUCGAUGGCAACCCCAAGUACUUUCCGGUACCUAAUACACAACGAACUCCCAUUAGACGCGCAAGAUCUUACUGGACUGGACCACUAAUAUUACGACUGAAGAAUACUUAUGACUUGGACAUAUUAAUUUCCUAGCCUGAUGCUUUUGCAUACUUAUGGAGAAUUUUCAUGAGAUGAUUCACUUCAGAUAAAUUGACCCUGCAAAACAAAAAACAACCGUCAGCAAAAAGUAGAUGGGACAACAUUGACACCGCUCUACUAAUAAGAGUGGAAAGUCCUUCAACAACUAGGAUGGAGAGAUACGGAGACAAAUGAUCUCCUUGUCUCAACCCCCCCGGAUGAAUUGGUCUGACUCUAUCCAUGUUAACUAGAAUAUAGUAAUUCACCGACGUAACACACAUCAUCAUCCAAUGAAUUAAUCUAUCUGCAAAUCCCAUACGACUUUGGACACUUCCCAUAAAACCCCAAUUCACUAUAUCAUAAGCUUUGCUUAUGUCAAUCUUAAGAGCUAAUUCCUUACCCUUCGUCCUUCUCUUCAACGCAUGUAUAGUCUCGAUAACUAUCAUAGCGUUAUCAAGAAUAUAUCGACCUUCUAACUGCUCCUCUAACACACACUUAGAUAAACAUUUUUUCAUUCUGUUAGCAAGAAGUUUUGAAACCAUCUUCUACACCACAUUAAAUAAUGAUAUAAAUCUCAAAUCCUUGAUGUUAUUAGGAUUCUCGCACAAUAAUAUUUUCUUAAAAUAUUGACAUAAUUAGUCACUAAGUCCCUUAACUUAACUUAUUGUUCCGCUUUAGUCCCUUAAAUAAAAAAACGUUACAAAUUAGUCUUUUAAGUUCCCUUAUGUUACUCUAUUUGGUCCUUUCCGUCAAUUUGUGAAAAAAAACGUUAAGUUCUGGUGAUGUGACAUGACAACAAGACCGUCGGUACAAAUCUGAACUAUCACAUAUAGUUAAAAAUUGAUACAUUGUUUAAAUGAUAAAAUCAAAAUCAUCGCAAUUUAAACCGUGUAUCAUUUUUUAAUUAUAUAUUUUGAUUCGAAUUUUAACAAAUGACCUUGAUACAUCAAAUCAGAGAAUUUAACAUUUAUUUUUAAUAAAAAAAUUAAUAGACUAAAUAAAAUAAUAAAAAUGAAAUUAAAUAACUAACUUUAAAAUUUUUUAAUUAAGAACUAAGGCAAAGAUUAAAUUAAAUUAAGGGAGCAAAACAUCUAUUAACUCUAAAAUAUUAAUAUUUAUAAAAUUAUUUGAAAACGCCUCGUAGAAUCAUCCGGAAAAAGUAAUCAUAACGCGCCCAAAAUGACGCGUAUCUAAAGGGGAGAAAAAGUCCAUACACAACAACAUUCUUCCCUUCUUUCGUCACUCGUCCUCUUCCUCUGCAACCUAACAAAACCCCCCAAAUUCAUUCUCCCCAACACCAUCUCCAAACCCUAAUCCGAUCACCUCAAAACAAAAUCCACCGAUGUGGGCUGCUUCGUGCUUGGCGUCAUGCUGCGCCGCCUGCGCAUGCGACGCUUGCAGGACCGUCGUUUCAGGCAUCAGCCGUCGUUCAGCCAGGAUCGCUUACUGCGGCCUCUUCGCUCUUUCCCUCUUCGUUGCUUGGAUCCUCCGUGAAGUCGCUGCUCCUCUCAUGGAAUCAAUUCCCUGUAACUAUUCCCUCCUUCAAACCCUAAUUCUUUUUUUUUAUCCUUUCUAAUUUCGAAUUAUGAAAUAAAAUUCUUUAUUCUUCAAUUGGAGGAUUGUAUGUAAAACACCUCUUUAAAAUUAUUAAGCUAUCUGUUUAAUCUGGAAUGUUUAACUUUUUAAUUUUUAAUUUUUACCUUUUUUUUAUUAUGAAAAUUGUGUUGUUGUAAAAUUACCAUGUUUCAUACGGAUAAUACACGUACAGUUUUUACAAGUUAAUUUAGUGAAUUUAGAUGAGGAUAUAAUUGGGUUAUUAUGGACUUGAGGAUGAAGCUAAUGUAUUUGAAAAAUGGUGCAGGGAUUAAUCACUUUAAACAAACUCCGAGCCGUGAGUGGUUUGAGACAGAUGCAGUUCUACGUGUUAGCUUUGGAAACUUUCUGUUUUUCACUAUUCUGGCUACUAUGAUGGUUGGUGUUAAAACUCAGAAGGAUCCCCGUGAUGGCUUGCAUCAUGGGGGUUGGAUGAUGAAAAUUGUCUGUUGGUGUCUUAUGGUUAUCUUUACGUUUUUUCUUCCGAAUGAGUUCAUCAGCUUUUAUGGUGAGAAUGCUUUUCAGUUUGCAUUUUGAAAUGGAUUCAUUUUAGUUUAUUGCCAUACAUAUUGAGUUUAAUGUUGUUUAUACAAUCAUUGAAUUUGAUUCAAAAGGAAAUAAUGUAGAGAUGUGUUUUCCUAUGCGUUUGACAUAUAAUUUUGUUAACGGGGGGAUGAAUUUUGUUUAUUUGCAGAAACAAUAUCAAAGUUUGGCUCCGGUUUGUUUCUUCUUGUUCAAGUUGUGCUCUUGUUGGAUUUUGUUCACGGAUGGAAUGACAAAUGGGUUGGAUUUGAUGAACAAUUCUGGUCAGUUUUAGGCUUUGCUAUAUUAAUUUACUUCUGUAACAUAUUUUUGAUUACUUUCUAUUAUAUAUGUUUUAAUGACAUUUCAGUAUUUAAUUGUUUCUUUGUUGAAACAGGUAUGUUGCUUUAUUUGUUGUUUCACUUGUUUGUUAUAUUGUCACACUUGUAUUUUCGGGAGUUCUCUUUCACUUCUUCACACCAUCUGGACAAGACUGCGGAAUCAAUGUCUUUUUUAUUACUAUGACCCUGAUCCUCGCAUUUGUUUUUGCCAUAGUAGCUUUGCACCCUGCGGUA